This 432-nucleotide ribosomal RNA is filed under the name Haloferax sp. AR4. RNAcentral's name for it is "bacterial SSU rRNA". It matches the Rfam family "Archaeal small subunit ribosomal RNA", at positions 107 to 538 of the family's 1478-position model. Lineage: Archaea; Methanobacteriati; Methanobacteriota; Halobacteria; Halobacteriales; Haloferacaceae. The record is from RNAcentral.
AACUACCCUACAGAGAACGAUAACCUCGGGAAACUGAGGCUAAUAGUUCAUACGGGAGUCAUGCUGGAAUGCCGACUCCCCGAAACGCUCAGGCGCUGUAGGAUGUGGCUGCGGCCGAUUAGGUAGACGGUGGGGUAACGGCCCACCGUGCCGAUAAUCGGUACGGGUUGUGAGAGCAAGAGCCCGGAGACGGAAUCUGAGACAAGAUUCCGGGCCCUACGGGGCGCAGCAGGCGCGAAACCUUUACACUGCACGCAAGUGCGAUAAGGGGACCCCAAGUGCGAGGGCAUAUAGUCCUCGCUUUUCACGACUGUAAGGCGGUCGUGGAAUAAGAGCUGGGCAAGACCGGUGCCAGCCGCCGCGGUAAUACCGGCAGCUCAAGUGAUGACCGAUAUUAUUGGGCCUAAAGCGUCCGUAGCCGGCCACGAAGGU